This 577-nucleotide small RNA is filed under the name Arabidopsis thaliana (thale cress). Its description in RNAcentral is "ATSL115480". The record is from RNAcentral. Lineage: Eukaryota; Viridiplantae; Streptophyta; Magnoliopsida; Brassicales; Brassicaceae.
UGAAUAAAAUUUUGCCACUAACAUUCACUAUCAAAACUUUAAUUGGAACAAGAUAAAAUAACAAUCUCGAGAGAGAACCAAAGAUGAUUUGAAAAAGGAUGAUCAACCUUGACUUGAAAAAGGAUGAUCAACGUUGACUUGAAAAAGGAUGAUCAACCUUGCCAUUGCAACCACAUAACAAAAACUAUUGGAGACAAAUAUUUUGAUCCGGUUCUUGAUUCAUUGAUAUUGCUGAUUAUCAGUUCAUCGCAAUAAAAAAUGUUGUUGACAUAGCCUUUCUCAAAGGUUUUGAUAGGUGUAGUCGUUGAGGUCUUUAUAUCCAACCUUCAAAGUUUUGAACCUCUUUUCUGAAGAAAAAAAUGUACCGAAACUUUCAUAUGAGAGUACACGAGUAGUCCUUGCAACCGCACUAGAAGCGAACAAGAAACUUCAAUGGCUUUCACAAUAUCAGUUGAAAUUGCUCUUGCAAUAGUAAUCUGCACAGUUCGAGGUCCCAAGGCUUCCUUAACACCCUUAAGAACAAACAUUAUUGAGCUUUUGGAAAUCUGGUUAACACAUGCUAAAUAGAUUAAUGAUC